CACACCGCCCGUCACACCAUGAAAGUUAGGCUUACCAGAAGUCGUUGCGCUGACCGUAAGGAGGCAGACGCCCAAGGUAGGACUGAUGAUUGGGGUG
This 97-nucleotide ribosomal RNA is filed under the name uncultured bacterium. RNAcentral describes it as "partial 16S ribosomal RNA". It matches the Rfam family "Bacterial small subunit ribosomal RNA", at positions 1386 to 1482 of the family's 1533-position model. The record is from RNAcentral.